AUCGAACGCUGGCGGCAUGCCUAACACAUGCAAGUCGAACGAAGCCUUCGGGCUUAGUGGCGCACGGGUGCGUAACGCGUGGGAAUCUGCCCUUGGGUUCGGAAUAACAGUUAGAAAUGACUGCUAAUACCGGAUGAUGUCUUCGGACCAAAGAUUUAUCGCCCAAGGAUGAGCCCGCGUAGGAUUAGGUAGUUGGUGGGGUAAUGGCCCACCAAGCCGACGAUCCUUAGCUGGUCUGAGAGGAUGAUCAGCCACACUGGGACUGAGACACGGCCCAGACUCCUACGGGAGGCAGCAGUGGGGAAUAUUGGACAAUGGGCGAAAGCCUGAUCCAGCAAUGCCGCGUGAGUGAUGAAGGCCUUAGGGUUGUAAAGCUCUUUUACCAGGGAUGAUAAUGACAGUACCUGAGAAUAAGCUCCGGCUAACUCCGUGCCAGCAGCCGCCGCCG
This 448-nucleotide ribosomal RNA is filed under the name uncultured bacterium. Its description in RNAcentral is "partial 16S ribosomal RNA". It matches the Rfam family "Bacterial small subunit ribosomal RNA", at positions 30 to 523 of the family's 1533-position model. The record is from RNAcentral.